Homo sapiens (human) is the source of this 1076-nucleotide long non-coding RNA. Ensembl annotates it as long intergenic non-protein coding RNA 705. The record is from Ensembl. Lineage: Eukaryota; Metazoa; Chordata; Mammalia; Primates; Hominidae.
AAGAGUGAGAGUAAAUUGAUUUAAUUUCAGACUGUUCUUGGCAGUCCAUAAGUAGAGAUUUCCAAGUUUUACAAUAGAGAAUUAAAAUGAUUGAAAAAUAUUCUAAAAAAAAAAAAACAACCUGCAGAAGAAAGCUAGAAAAUCAGAAGAUGAAAUAUUUUUUAGGCAUAAAAUAUGCAUGCAGUUUAUAGACAAUGGAGAUGUGCUAACUCUUGAAAACGUGCUUCGACAUCUCAAAUUGCUUAAGGCUUUUGCAACAAAAUAACUUACCAGUGUCAGGCCAUGGUAGAAUAUGAGUUCACAAUGAAUUUUUAUGCCUGGGUUUCUGUGACCCAAGUUAUGCUGAAGAAUAUGAGAGACACCACCUUUUAAAAAUUUUUACAUAGCCUGCGGCCACUGCAAUUCGUUAAUCCCUUUGGAAAAUUGCUUAAGCCUGGCAUGUUUUGUAAUGAACUUUAUCUCUUCACUACCAAAAGUCGUAAAAAGGAACUUCAGUGAGGAAAGAAACACAAUUGAUAAUUGAAUAUUUCAAAGAGAUCAGCAUUUUAGAAAACUGGACGGAAUCUCACUCUCACCAGGCUGGAGUGCAGCGAGCAAUCUCGGCUCACUGCAGCCUCUGCCUCCUGGGUUCAAGCAAUUCUCCUGCCUCAGCCUCCCGAGUAGCUGGGAUUACAGUUGAGAAGAAUACAUUUCAAGAGAUGCUCUUGGAAAACACGUUUGAUGGAGAGGUUGAUUUUUGUAACCUGUAUGCCGUAGUCAGGAGGGAAAUUUGGACAUGGACACAUAGGGAAGACAGCCAUGUGGAGACAGAGGCAGAGGUGGACCUGCUGCCGCAAAACCACAGGGCGCCAAGUACUGUGGGCCACUGAGAAAACUAAAGGAGAGGAAGGAUUCUUCCCUGGAGCUUUGGAGAGGGUGCGGCCCUACUUUCACCUGGAUUUCAGACUUCAGACUUCCAGAACCAUGAAGGAAUAAGCUCUCUUUGUUUCAAAACCACUCAGUCAAGGCACUUUGUUACAACAGCCUAGGAAACUAAUACAGGAAUUGGUAUUAGUAAAAUCAUUAUUGUUGGCUCA